GGGGCCCAGAUGCGGCGUCCUCCUCACCCCAGCACCACAGGCCCAGAGGGCAGGUGGGGUAUAAGUACUUUAUAGGAUUAAUCGGCGUGAGACUCAUCCCCCUCAUCCUCACCAGUGUCGGGUGUCAGAGAGAAAUGCUAUCUCAGCAUGAGGGAAUCGCGGCUAACGAGGCAGGCGCUGUCUGCAGUGGCUUCAGAGCGGCUCUGACGAGCAUCUCCUGGUUAGGAGGUGAGCGGUCUCUCUAGGGAGGACACAGCCUGGCCACAGGAAGAGAGGGACUUCUCCUACCUAGACCUGAAUCUUGAAACCCUGGCGACAUCAGAGUCACUAGGUCCAUGUGACACCUGCUCAGAACAGGACUUGAACUUGCGUUCAUCUCUCAUUCUGCCUUGGUAGUUUGUUCUAUGGGCCCAAUGGUGACCCAGUUCUGAAAACCUAUUCCCAUAGCUUGUUCUUUCAGUGAAAAAAAUUAUGCUGAUUUUCUAUAGAUCUGCAAAAUUCCGCACAUACGUGUUUGGAGGUGCAUUAAUUAUGCCCUUAGCAUCAGGCAUUGGGU
Molecule: long non-coding RNA, 556 nt
Filed under: Mus musculus (house mouse)
Lineage: Eukaryota; Metazoa; Chordata; Mammalia; Rodentia; Muridae
Description: long non-coding RNA chr4:156255455-156256011
Source: RNAcentral